This is a long non-coding RNA of Atta colombica, 751 nucleotides long. RefSeq lists it as uncharacterized. The transcript has 2 exons. NCBI's taxonomy places the organism in Eukaryota, Metazoa, Arthropoda, Insecta, Hymenoptera, Formicidae. The record is from RefSeq and is a predicted model, not a curated record.
UCGGGUCUUCAACUCCGGACCGCGAGCAACGGCACGAUCCGCGCCGUCGUCCGCGUCGCGACGCACCCACCCGACGGAACCACCCCUCCGGUAUAUGUGGGUCGUGAUUGCGCCGACCUAUCCCACUGCACACGUCGGAGAAGAGAUCGAAGUAGGAUCACGUACGAAAUUUCGAGGAUAUUCCGGGAUUCUUGCCAAAGCAUGCCGGUCGUUUCAUCCGCACGCCCGUAAACAGGAUCUCGCAAUCUCGCUUUCGUGAAGGGCGAAACUAGUAUUGAAAAGCUUCGUAAAAAGUUUCGCGCGGUUGGCCUGCGAGGAAAAUCGCAUGAAGGAUCUUAUAUAUCGGGGAGCACUUCUGUGACUUUUUAUGAGCGGAACAGAUGCGUCCUGUAUCCGCACGCGAAUUUUUAUGAGACGUGUACCGUCCUGCGGAACGAGCACCGGAAUUUUUAUAGGAACGGAAGGGCGGAGAGAAACGUCCGUGGUCAGCGGAAGUUAGAAAAUAUCCGGGCCGAGUAGCGAUUCAUUUCCUAGUGACGUCGAAGCCGUGGCUGUGGCGCCGUGAGAUCCGCCCGCCGCGUUUCAAGUGCGCAAUUAAUCGCGGAACUUAAUCGAGUGCCGAAUUAAUCGCGACGGAUUUACGAGCCGCGUUGUGUGACAGUGACAUUUGCCACGCACGAUUAUGAAACGCCGUCGCCGAUGCAAGUGAUUUAAUAACAACGAAAAAGAGAAAGGACUUAUUCUCUUAAAG